CAGCCUUGUGUCGCGGUGAUGCGAGGGGCAGCGCGGGGCCAGAACUGAGAAGGAGUCCGAGCGACGGGGCCGGGACGGCGACGGGGGACCGUCCGCACCGGUGUGGCCGCGCUCCGAUCCGCUGUUACAGCCCUUGUGACAGCUAUGACUCCCGGUCCCACCUUGGUGGGCAGGAACCCAGGCUGCUCAUGCACAGCUGCAUCCAAGAGCCACAGGUCAGCCCGACGGGAUGGGAUGCACCUGUGCCCACGAAAAGGAAUCAAAAGACCUGGAGAAGGAGGUGGUUGUGGUAAUUGAAAUAAUAAAGGGGAAACAAAAUAUAUAUGGCAUUGUCCAUAGAAAAAGUAGUUGAAUACUUACAAGGAUCCAGCAACACAAUUACUGGCCUAGACUAUUCCUUAAGAUGUUGUAAACAGGCUGUAUGAUGCUGCCUUAACUUUCCCCUCAUUUCUCCAACUAGAGAUCUCAGAUUCAGUAGCACUGCUGUACAGCAAAGGACCAUAUUGCAUGUAUCAGGGCAACCUGAUCUAGUAAAGGUGUAUGUUUGGUGGCCCUGCUAGGCAGGGGGGUUGGAACUACAUGAUCCUUGAGGUCCCUUCCAACCCGGGUCAUUCUGUGAUUCUGUGAUACAGUCCCCAAAGUCCUGCCUCUUUUCCCAUUGAAGCUGGGACAGCCACAGCAGCUCCUCUGGACACAGCAUUCAACGCCACCACUACUAAUUUCAGUUAAGUGGGCACUCACCAUUACUAACCUGAAAACCAGGGACAGAAAUGCAUAUUUCGUAAUUAGCUGCCAUGUUUCAAACAACUUUUGCGUUCUCUAACGAUCUCAACGUUAAACUCCUAAGCAGGUAUCCUACAGAGUUCUGUUUUUUUUCCCCUAACUUGUCAAUACUUAAACCAAACAGAAAGUAACACAGUAGAAAAGCAGAUCAGUACUUGAAUGAAGUACUUGAAUGAUUCUUAAUCUUCCGUAAUUAUCUGAAGCAUUCCUUCUAACAGAAGGCUGUAAUACAGUUUUCUAAGCAAAGGUAUUUUCUCCUGUGGUAGCAGUAGUGUUGCUUCUCCAUUGCUCCAUGUGUUAGCUUUGCUGCAUGCAUUUGGGACACCACUAUCCUCCAUUCUGAGUAGCAAACUAGAUGAACAUCCAGUUUCUUUCCCAUAUUCUAUCUACCAAACACAUCACUGACUAUCUUCGAGCCCCCCUUUGGACUGAAUUAUUUAGAAUACUUCUUACUGAAAAGCGUUGCACCUGAAUAGCUUAAAAUGCCUUCUGCAAGGAACAAGAACCUCUGAAUUUUCCCAGUGAUACAAAAUUACCCAUUGUAAGAGCCAAAGCGAAGACGUGAGCAGCUGUAGAAGGACCUCACAAUAGUGAGCAAACGGGCAGAGAGACAGCAGAAGAAAAUUCUAUGGCCGUAACUGCAAACUAAAGUAAAUAGCAAUGAAAACAACCCUUACUAAACAAUGCAUAAUAAUGGCCUCUAAAUUAACCUUCAUCAAUGGGAGCUGUUGUGAACAGCUUUCUGCAAACAUUAGCUUGCUGCUCAGCCUUAGAUGAGAAGGCAAAUAAUGUUAGGAAUUACUCCAAAAGCAAUUGAGAACAAAGUGGAAUAGCUCAUUACAUUGCUGUGUAAAUCUCUUGUGUACUUCAGUAGUGUGUAUAGUUCUGUCUCCUUCAUGUGGAAAUAGAGAACAAGAAAGUGUACGGGGCUAAAGAAUAGUCGUGGGUAUGGAAUUCCACACAUGUGAGGAGAACCACAACUGUGAAACAGAGGAGGGAUUACCUUCAGAUCCAUACAGUCAUGAAUGGGAUGUAGGAACCUGAGAGGAAACAAGUACGUGCCAUUUUUCAUUUUACAGGACCUGAGGGAGACACGGCUAAUGAUCAGGCAGCAGGUUUAAGACAACAGCUGCAAAGAACUUUGCUGUACAAAGUGUUAUUAAAUUGCCUGGCUUGCUGUGACACAGCACUAUGGAUCUGAAGGCACAGAUGUUUUUAAAUAGGGAUUACAUGAAGGAAUGAACAAUAGCUUGAACUAUUAAGCAGAGUAAUUGCAUUUUCAGUGCCUGCCUAUUGCUUGCUAGAGCUUUAAGAAGGGACACUCUUCACAUACCUUAUUCCAAUGCUCCCCUGAGCAUGAGAUGGUUAAUUCUUUUCUUCCUGCUCAAUUAGGUGUGAGAAAGAGAGGACAAACAGCCUUCUAGGUAUGGAAACAUACAUCUGCCUUUAUGUCCUGGGAGAAAGAUCAGAGUAGUCCCUUAUCUUCCCGUUCGAGUGUUCUUCUAUGUCCCCGAAGAGAAUGCUUUUCCAGUGGUUCCCUAGCGAUUAGCCCUAUUCAGCAGUGACAAUCCAUUUGCAUCAGCCUUUCCACAUCAGCGCUACUUUUUGCACCCCUUUACACAAGAAUGGGGAAAGAAAUCCUGAAGUGUAAUAACAGCAGACAUGCAUAGAACACAUUGAAAAUACUUUCCACUUCCACAGAUCAUGACAAUAAAAUUCCUUGGUCAUUAUAGAGGAGAAAGGGAUUAGUAAUUUCGUCUUGUUUAAGAAGUAGGAAAGUAAAGCAGAAACACACAGAGAUGCUUUAAAAACUAACAGCAGAUAAAAGUCCUGCAUAGACAACCAGUUUCUAAGAACCAUGUUAGAGAUGUCCUUAUUAAAUACAAGAAACUGGAAAUCUGACAAGCAAAACUGAAAUGAAGUUUGGCAGAGCUCCAACAAUCCUUGAAGACAAACAUAUGAUAAAUCAGCCGGAGUGGUUACAUCUCAUAUAAACAAAAUCUGUAUGGUUGAUACUCUGUACAGUUACUCAUCUCCACUCAGAAAAGAGCUUGCUUCAAACCUUAUUUCAGCAAUGGAUAGUAAUGCCAAGGCCUCACAUUCAGCAGAAUUUAUAUGAUUUCUUUUACUGUUUAGACUGGAACUGGUUUAAAAAAAAAAAAAAAAAGUGAAGAUUUCUGAUGCUUUCUAUAUAUACACACAAAUAAAAUUAA
This is a non-coding RNA of Coturnix japonica (Japanese quail), 2996 nucleotides long. Lineage: Eukaryota; Metazoa; Chordata; Aves; Galliformes; Phasianidae. The record is from RefSeq and is a predicted model, not a curated record.